Molecule: long non-coding RNA, 692 nt
Organism: Zingiber officinale
Lineage: Eukaryota; Viridiplantae; Streptophyta; Magnoliopsida; Zingiberales; Zingiberaceae
Exons: 4
Source: RefSeq, a predicted model, not a curated record
UUUUAUUUGAUUAUGUGAAAGAUAACAUUUUCUUUAAUGCAAGAACGUGACUUGUUCAUUCGACUAUGUGGUUCCAGAGAUCGAGCGGAUCGAAGAAAUACUUGCAAUGUCGAAUGGAAAGACACUUGAUGGUGAAACAAGACCUAUCAGAGCUUAGUUUCUGCAAUGCUACAACAGAUUUAUCUGAGAAUCCCUUAUCCCUCCUUUGAGAUAAUAAUUGUUGAUUAAGAAUCACCCACUAGUGGGAAUUACAUGAAGCCCUUGAUCAAGUUGUAUCCGCUAUUGCUUGAAUAAGUUGAUUAAAGUUGCAAGUUGAGCCUGCACUUUCACUAAGACUAGAAACUUUAUCCUUUAAUCAAGUAGUAGCUUCUUGAUGGAGUUUAUUUAGCAUAUGAAACUCAUUUAAGAUUUAUGUCUGUUGUUCAAUGUUUUUUUGACCUCAUACUUGUUAUAAUUUUUUGUUUAUAAUGCAUUAGACCUUAUUUAACAUUAUUUAAAUUUUAAAGUGUGUAUUUAAAUAGAUAUAUAACAAGUAGCUUUAUUGAAGAAACUACAGUGCUAAAGAGGGGCAUUAUUGCAGUCAUUCAAAAGUUCAAUAUCCAAGUUAGCAAUUUGACUCAAGAUGUCCUUGGAAAGUCUAGUUCAACUGUUUAUGUCAUUGCAUUGUUAGCCUCUGGAAAGAGCUCUGCAAU